AACGCACGAGACCUGCGGACCUGCGGAAGGAUCAUCAAAAAAAAAAGAGAAGAGGGGUGAAAGUUUCUUCACCCCUCUCUUUUUUAUUAAUUUUUUCUUUCUUUCCCCCUUUUUCCAUGCCUACUCCUUCCUAGGAAGUUGUAAUUAGAGAAAAAGGGGGUGAAGAAAAGAAACUUGUCGACUUCUUGUUGUCCCCUUUUUUAGGAGAGUUUCUUUUAAAAAAGGGGGUAGACCCUUUUC
RNAcentral lists this unclassified non-coding RNA (240 nucleotides) under soil metagenome. RNAcentral describes it as "partial contains 5.8S ribosomal RNA, internal transcribed spacer 2, and large subunit ribosomal RNA". The record is from RNAcentral.